RNAcentral lists this ribosomal RNA (253 nucleotides) under uncultured bacterium. RNAcentral's name for it is "partial 16S ribosomal RNA". It matches the Rfam family "Bacterial small subunit ribosomal RNA", at positions 524 to 776 of the family's 1533-position model. The record is from RNAcentral.
UACGGAGGGGGCUAGCGUUGUUCGGAAUUACUGGGCGUAAAGCGCGCGUAGGCGGAUCUGCAAGUCGGGGGUGAAAUCCCGAGGCUCAACCUCGGAACUGCCUUCGAUACUGCGGGUCUCGAGUCCGGGAGAGGUGAGUGGAAUUCCUAGUGUAGAGGUGAAAUUCGUAGAGAUCGGGAGGAACACCCGUGGCGAAAGCGGGCUCCUGGACCCCACCUGACGCUGAGACGCGAAAGCCAGGGGAGCAAACGGG